RNAcentral lists this ribosomal RNA (492 nucleotides) under uncultured bacterium. RNAcentral describes it as "partial 16S ribosomal RNA". It matches the Rfam family "Bacterial small subunit ribosomal RNA", at positions 29 to 507 of the family's 1533-position model. The record is from RNAcentral.
AGUGAACGCUGGCGGUAGGCCUAACACAUGCAAGUCGAACGGCAGCACAGUAAGAGCUUGCUCUUACGGGUGGCGAGUGGCGUACGGGUGAGGAAUACAUCGGAAUCUACUUUUUCGUGGGGGAUAACGUAGGGAAACUUACGCUAAUACCGCAUACGACCUACGGGUGAAAGCAGGGGAUCUUCGGACCUUGCGCGAUUGAAUGAGCCGAUGUCGGAUUAGCUAGUUGGCGGGGUAAAGGCCCACCAAGGCGACGAUCCGUAGCUGGUCUGAGAGGAUGAUCAGCCACACUGGAGGUGAGACACGGUCCAGACUCCUACGGGAGGCAGCAGUGGGGAAUAGUGGACAAUGGGCGCAAGCCUGAUCCAGCCAUACCGCGUGGGUGAAGAAGGCCUUCGGGUUGUAAAGCCCUUUUGUUGGGAAAGAAAAGCAGCAGGUUAAUACCACGCUGUUGUGACGGUACCCAAAGAAUAAGCACCGGCUAACUUCGUG